CCUACGGGUGGCAGCAGUGGGGAAUAUUGGACAAUGGGGGCAACCCUGAUCCAGCCAUGCCGCGUGUGUGAAGAAGGCUCUCGGGUUGUAAAGCACUUUCAGUGAGGAAGAACGCCUGGUGGUUAAUACCCAUCAGGAAAGACAUCACUCACAGAAGAAGCACCGGCUAACUCCGUGCCAGCAGCCGCGGUAAUACGGAGGGUGCGAGCGUUAAUCGGAAUUACUGGGCGUAAAGCGCGCGUAGGUGGCUUGAUAAGCCGGUUGUGAAAGCCCCGGGCUCAACCUGGGAACGGCAUCCGGAACUGUCAAGCUAGAGUGCAGGAGAGGAAGGUAGAAUUCCCGGUGUAGCGGUGAAAUGCGUAGAGAUCGGGAGGAAUACCAGUGGCGAAGGCGGCCUUCUGGACUGACACUGACACUGAGGUGCGAAAGCGUGGGUAGCAAACAGGAUUAGAUACCCCGGUAGUC
RNAcentral lists this ribosomal RNA (465 nucleotides) under Vreelandella stevensii. RNAcentral's name for it is "partial 16S ribosomal RNA". It matches the Rfam family "Bacterial small subunit ribosomal RNA", at positions 338 to 795 of the family's 1533-position model. Lineage: Bacteria; Pseudomonadati; Pseudomonadota; Gammaproteobacteria; Oceanospirillales; Halomonadaceae. The record is from RNAcentral.